GAGACUCUGUGCGCGUGCAUAUCAAUAAGCGGAGGAAAAGAAACUAACUAAGGAUUCCCUUAGUAACGGCGAGUGGAGCGGGAAGAGCUCAAAUUUGAAAUCUUCAAGGUUCUACCUUGACGAAUUGUAGUUUAAAGAAGUGUUUUCUGUUGGAGUUUCGGUAAAAGUUCUUUGGAAUAGGACAUCAUAGAGGGUGAGAAUCCCGUAUUUGACCAUUUCUUCCAGCUGUGUGAUACACUUUCAAAGAGUCGGAUUGUUUGGGAAUGCAGUCCAAAAUGGGUGGUAAAUUUCAUCUAAAGCUAAAUAUUGGCGAGAGACCGAUAGCGAACAAGUACCGUGAGGGAAAGAUGAAAAGAACUUUGAAAAGAGAGUUAAACAGUACGUGAAAUUGUCAAAAGGGAAGCGUUUGACACCAGUGUUGUUUUCUCGAAAAUCAAUUAAAAAUGGCCGGAUUUUGUGUUGUAUUGACUUUAUCAGCUUUCUGCACUUUUUUCUUGUCUUUUUUAAUGCACUUUUCGUUUAACAAGUCAACAUCAAUUUCUUUUGUUGUAAAAGAGUCAUUGGAAGGUGGCUUUCAUUUCGGUGAAAGUGUUUAUAGCCUUUGACUUCUGCAAUCGGAGAGAUUGAGGUCUGCAGCGUAGAUCCUUCGGGGUUAGAUACAUUUGUGCUAAGUUAUAGUUUUUCAUAGACAACAUGUUGACUAUGAUUAAUCAUGUAGCUUACUCGCUUAUGCUAUUUUACCUACGCUUAGGAUGUUGACAGCAGUAUAGACUGU
RNAcentral lists this ribosomal RNA (775 nucleotides) under uncultured Neocallimastigales. RNAcentral describes it as "partial large subunit ribosomal RNA". It matches the Rfam family "Eukaryotic large subunit ribosomal RNA", at positions 23 to 633 of the family's 3401-position model. The record is from RNAcentral. Lineage: Eukaryota; Fungi; Neocallimastigomycota; Neocallimastigomycetes; Neocallimastigales.